Molecule: ribosomal RNA, 253 nt
Filed under: uncultured bacterium
Lineage: Bacteria
Description: partial 16S ribosomal RNA
Rfam family: Bacterial small subunit ribosomal RNA
Source: RNAcentral
UACGUAGGGUCCAAGCGUUAAUCGGAAUUACUGGGCGUAAAGCGUGCGUAGGCGGUUUCGCAAGUCCGAUGUGAAAUCCCCGGGCUUAACCUGGGAACUGCGUUGGAAACUACGAAGCUAGAGUGCGGCAGAGGGGGGUGGAAUUCCAGGUGUAGCAGUGAAAUGCGUAGAGAUCUGGAGGAACACCGAUGGCGAAGGCAGCCCCCUGGGCUAGCACUGACGCUCAUACACGAAAGCGUGGGGAGCAAACAGG